UACGAAGGGGGGCGAGCGUUGUUCGGAUUUACUGGGCGUAAAGGGCGCGCAGGCGGUCUUGAAAGUCAGGCGUGAAAGCCCCCGGGCUUAACCUGGGAAUUGCGCUUGAUACUCUGAGACUGGAGUACGGGAGAGGAGAGUGGAAUUCCCAGUGUAGAGGUGAAAAUUCGUAGAUAUUGGGAAGAACACCAGUGGCGAAGGCGGCUCUCUGGACCGUAACUGACGCUGAGGCGCGAAAGCGUGGGGAGCAAACAGG
RNAcentral lists this ribosomal RNA (256 nucleotides) under uncultured bacterium. RNAcentral's name for it is "partial 16S ribosomal RNA". It matches the Rfam family "Bacterial small subunit ribosomal RNA", at positions 524 to 776 of the family's 1533-position model. The record is from RNAcentral.